GCCAGAGAUGGCUUAGUGCGUACGAAAGAGAACCGUAACACAGGUGCUGCAUGGCUGUCGUCAGCUCGUGUCGUGAGAUGUUGGGUUAAGUCCCGCAACGAGCGCAACCCUUGUCAUUAGUUGCUACAUUUAGUUGGGCACUCUAAUGAGACUGCCGGUGACAAACCGGGAGGAAGGUGGGGAUGACGUCAAGUCCUCAUGGCCCUUAUAGGUAGGGCUACACACGUCAUACAAUGGAUGGUACAGAGGGUCGCCAACCCGCGAGGGGGAGCCAAUCCCAUAAAGCCAGUCGUAGUCCGGAUCGCAGUCUGCAACUCGACUGCGUGAAGUCGGAAUCGCUAGUAAUCGUGGAUCAGAAUGUCACGGUGAAUACGUUCCCGGGUCUU
This 386-nucleotide ribosomal RNA is filed under the name uncultured Polaromonas sp. RNAcentral's name for it is "bacterial SSU rRNA". It matches the Rfam family "Bacterial small subunit ribosomal RNA", at positions 999 to 1382 of the family's 1533-position model. The record is from RNAcentral. Lineage: Bacteria; Pseudomonadati; Pseudomonadota; Betaproteobacteria; Burkholderiales; Comamonadaceae.